Molecule: long non-coding RNA, 1067 nt
Organism: Dama dama (fallow deer)
Lineage: Eukaryota; Metazoa; Chordata; Mammalia; Artiodactyla; Cervidae
Exons: 4
Source: RefSeq, a predicted model, not a curated record
GUGCCCGCAGGGCCGGCGCCGCGCUCGGGCCCCGUCCUCCUCCCGCCGCGGCCUUCAGGCUCCCGGCGCAUCGGGGGCCGAUCGCGGAGACUGCUCUCAGUUGUUCCAGUCUGCUGGAGAAAACACAAGAUUGUGUUCUUCAUUACCUACCUGCGGCCAAGGUGUGGCAUCUUUCGUGUGUUCUAACUCUGGUGUAUGUUCCAGAUCCUUCAGCAUAAUACCCUUUGGUCAUGGAAAUGACAUCAUCAGGGAGACAACCUUGAGGAAAUGCCUGAAGUGACAGUAGAAAUAUUUUUUCCUGUUAUCUGCUGAAAGUCAUGUCGGAUUUUAGAGCAUGUACUGUGUUUGUGAUGGCCAUCUAUCUCUUAACUAUCAGAAUGGAACAAAAUAUUGGAGGUUAUUUUAAUGAGAACAGUCUUCUCCAGGAAGUCUGUGAUGACCAAAAUACUAGGGAAUGGCAACCCACUCCAGUAUUCUUGCCUGGAGAAUCCCAUGGAUGGAGGAGACUGGCGGGGCUACAGUCCAUGGGGUUGCAAAGAGUUGGACACGACUGAGCGACCAACACUGACUUAACCUUCCACACAAUGUCUUGCUCAGUGGUAAGGCCCAACUUUUCAUCAUAACCCAGUGAUGAUGGCAAAGUGAGAUUGUGAACGCCGCUCAGCAGCCACUGCCCGGUGGGUUUCAUCCGCAGACAUCUGGUGGCAAAAGUGUCAACAGCAUGGACAGCAAGGAGCCGCUUCAGCUGGGAGCAGUAGCAGCUUGACAUCCAGGAGGAAGGAAAACAAGAGCUCUAAACUCUGAAGUGAGGGCUUUGGAAUCUUCUAACCUGAUGAGGAUAUUCAAGGACCUGUCUGAUAAGUGUACUUUGUACCAUAAACUCAAGUAAAUAAAAAGCAAGUCAAUCAACAAAAUACAAAUAUUUUCUACCACUAAAUUGCUAAGGCAAUUCAAAAGAAUAUGCUUCUGUAACAAAAGGCCAUUCCAAACGAGGUGCCCUAAAAAUGUUUUGAAAGUGGUAAAAUAAUGGAAUAAAGAUAGUCUUUCCAAAUAAAAUUUUUCUUUGA